AGUUAUGAGCUCUGGAUUAUACAUGUACUAACAGGGAGGAGUUAUUAGCUCUGGAUUAUACAUGUACUAACAGGGAGGAGUUAUGAGCUCUGGAUUAUACAUGUACUAAUAGGAAGGAGUUAUGCCAGGGCUCAUACUAGCAUUAAGCUAAAUGUAAAUUCUGACAAGACAGAGCAGGUAAGGUGGCCUGUAAUCAAAACUUUUGCAACUCAUAUGUUUUGCUCCAUUUUGUGUCAGUUUUAGAACUUUAGGUUACUAUAUAGAUAAGGGACUUCAAAAAUAUUCAAUGUGAGGCAAAAUUGCAUUGACUUUUUGUGGUCAUGCUAUCUGCAAUCUGAAUGUUCUGUUCCAUGUGCCUUUAUUUCAAAAUACAAUGUAUAACGAAAUAUGCAAUUUAUAGUGUAAAAAAUUGUUGUUUUAAAACAACUCCUUAUUAUAAUAAACAUGGAGCUCAACCUUUUAUCUCACCAUUGAUGACAUUCUUAUUAGUCUUAAGUUACUACUGAAGCUCACCAGGCUGUAGGGGGCUCAUAAAGGCAUCAACAGAGGGUGUAGUAACCAUGGGGAAAGAAGGAUGGGGCCCUGUUUGGAGGUAAAUAUUGUUAAUCUUUGGAGUCUGAUUCCUUAUUAUGUAGUAAGGAGACUCUAACAAGAUUGGGUUUAGGUUCUUUUUUAUGCUUACAUGACUAGUUGAGCCAGUUAGGCUUACAGGACUAGUUGAACUAGUUAGGCUUAGUCCCUUGUGAUAGUCCAGGUGAGACAGACACUCUUGUCCCUUGUGAUUAUCCAGGUGAGACAGACACUCUUGUCCCUUGUGAUUAUCCAGGUGAGACAGCCACUCUUGUCCCUUGUGAUUAUCCAGGUGAGACAGCCACUCUUGUCCCUUGUGAUAGUCCAGGUGAGACGGACACUCUUGUCCCUUGUGAUUAUCCAGGUGAGACAGUCACUCUUGUCCCUUGUGAAUAUCCAGGUGAGACAGACACUCUUGUCCCUUGUGAUUAUCCAGGUGAGACAGCCACUCUUGUCCCUUGUGAUUAUCCAGGUGAGACAGCCACUCUUGUCCCUUGUGAAUAUCCAGGUGAGACAGACACUCUUGUCCCUUGUGAUUAUCCAGGUGAGACAGACACUCUUGUCCCUUGUGAUUAUCCAGGUGAGACAGCCACUCUUGUCCCUUGUGAUAGUCCAGGUGAGACGGACACUCUUGUCCCUUGUGAUUAUCCAGGUGAGACAGUCACUCUUGUCCCUUGUGAAUAUCCAGAUGAGACAGCCACUCUUGCCCCUUAAUUGAUUUUAUAUAAAACAGUGCCUUGAAUCUGUAACAGGCUGAACAGUUGAUUUGGCAACAUUGUGCAAUUACAUCAGUUUCAGUUACUGAAUCAUUUUGCUAGGUUAAAAUUAGAAAUGUUACAUUCUGAUUCAUUUAUAUCAAUUUUCAUAAUGGAAUAUGUUGCUGGCGAUACUUAUUAUUGUUACAGAAUGUUCAGCAUUUGACUUUUCUGGAAAAAAGAGGCUUCGAGAUAUAACAGAAAUUUUACCCAGACCUGUAAGGUUACCUGCUUACUACACAAUGUAUGUAUAUGACAAAAGAUUUAUAGAAUUUACAAAACAUUAGACAACUAAGUCAAACUAUAUUCAACUGAACGAUUACUGUGACUUAAAUAUUGUACGUGUAACUGAAUUGUCCAUCUACUAAUGUACAUCUACAUCUACAUUGGUACAGUAAUAGUAUCAAUACUAUCAGUCUGAGGUUACAUUUCCAUAUACCAGGAUACUUCUAGAUUUAUAGGCCAAGUCUGCUGUCUAACCCAUUUGUAUAAAUGUUAUACAAUAAAAUAUGAUGAAAUGAAAUACUUCUAGAUUUAAAGUGAUUUACAAAGCACUGAAAGACGCAAGUAUUUAAUUAGGUAAUAUGUAUAUUUCUAUGUAUAUGUCUAUGUAUGUGUCAAAAUAAAAGAUGUUAGUUU
This is a long non-coding RNA of Pecten maximus, 1964 nucleotides long. RefSeq lists it as uncharacterized. NCBI's taxonomy places the organism in Eukaryota, Metazoa, Mollusca, Bivalvia, Pectinida, Pectinidae. The record is from RefSeq and is a predicted model, not a curated record. The transcript has 2 exons.